GAUGAAUGCUGGCGGCGUGCCUAAUACAUGCAAGUCGUGCGGUAAGGCUCUUCGGAGUACACGAGCGGCGGACGGCUGAGUAACGCGUGGGAACGUGCCCCAAAGUGAGGGAUAACGCACCGAAAGGUGUGCUAAUACCGCAUAUGGUCUUCGGAUUAAAGCUUCGGCGCUUUGGGAGCGGCCCGCGUACGAUUAGAUAGUUGGUAGGGUAAUGGCCUACCAAGUCGACGAUCGUUAACUGGUCUGAGAGGAUGAUCAGUCAGACUGGAACUGAGACACGGUCCAGACUCCUACGGGAGGCGGCAGUAAGGAAUCUUCCACAAUGGGGGCAACCCUGAUGGAGCAACGCCGCGUGCAGGAUGAAGGCCCUCGGGUCGUAAACUGCUUUUAUGAGUGAAGAAUAUGACGGUAACUCAUGAAUAAGCACCGGCUAACUACGUGCCAGCAGCCGCCGUAA
RNAcentral lists this ribosomal RNA (457 nucleotides) under uncultured bacterium. RNAcentral's name for it is "partial 16S ribosomal RNA". It matches the Rfam family "Bacterial small subunit ribosomal RNA", at positions 28 to 523 of the family's 1533-position model. The record is from RNAcentral.